UAGGGAAUCUUCGGCAAUGGACGAAAGUCUGACCGAGCAACGCCGCGUGAGUGAAGAAGGUUUUCGGAUCGUAAAACUCUGUUGUUAGAGAAGAACAAGGACGUUAGUAACUGAACGUCCCCUGACGGUAUCUAACCAGAAAGCCACGGCUAACUACGUGCCAGCAGCCGCGGUAAUACGGAGGGUGCAAGCGUUAAUCGGAAUUACUGGGCGUAAAGCGCACGCAGGCGGUCUGUCAAGUCGGAUGUGAAAUCCCCGGGCUCAACCUGGGAACUGCAUUCGAAACGGGCAGGCUAGAGUCUUGUAGAGGGGGGUAGAAUUCCAGGUGUAGCGGUGAAAUGCGUAGAGAGCUGGAGGAAUACCGGUGGCGAAGGCGGCCCCCUGGACGAAGACUGACGCUCAGGUGCGAAAGCGUGGGGAGCAAACAGG
Molecule: ribosomal RNA, 429 nt
Filed under: Chloroflexota bacterium
Lineage: Bacteria; Bacillati; Chloroflexota
Description: Chloroflexi bacterium partial 16S ribosomal RNA
Rfam family: Bacterial small subunit ribosomal RNA
Source: RNAcentral